Molecule: ribosomal RNA, 407 nt
Filed under: uncultured bacterium
Lineage: Bacteria
Description: partial 16S ribosomal RNA
Rfam family: Bacterial small subunit ribosomal RNA
Source: RNAcentral
GACGAACGCUGGCGGCGUGCCUAAUACAUGCAAGUAGAACGCAGUUGCGAACGGGUGAGUAACCCGUAGGUAACUGCCUCAUAGCGGGGGAUAACUUUUUGACACGUUAGCUAAUACCCCAUACUGUGAGAUUGACCUGCGUUGUAUUAGCUAGUUGGUGAGGGAAAGGCUCACCAAGGCGACGAUACAUAGCCGACCUGGGAGGGUGAUCGGCCACACUGGGACUGGGACACGGCCCAGGCUCCUACGGGAGGCAGCAGUAGGGAAGCUUCGGCAAUGGACGGAAGUCUGACCGAGCAACGCCGCGUGAGUGAAGAAGGUUUUCGGAGCGUAAAGCUCUGUUGUUAGAGAAGCGGUAACUAAAGAGAAAGGGACGGCUAACUACGUGCCAGCAGCCGCGGUAAUUG